GGUUCGAGUAUGCACUAAGUUUAUUCAGACUUAAGCUUUUCAAAGUUUUCUGAUAAUGUGAAAUGAUAUUUGUGCCAAAUUACAACGAAAAUUUAAACAUAAAUUUGAAAUAUGUCAAUAAAAGUCAAGUGUGAUUCUUCUAAAUUAUGCCAAGAUUUAGUAAUUAGUAGUAAUUUAGUAGUAAAAAUUAUUGUAAUGCGCAGUUGAUAUCAGGGAUACUAUUAAAUUAAGUCUAUAUAUCCUCGGAGGAAUCGUUCGGUUAUAGGUAGCAAUCAAAAAACUGGAGGUGUCGAUUGGCCAUGGGUAAAUAAGUAAAUAAAUAAAUAUAUGCGCAUUAAAGCAUAAGUACAAAAUAACGGCAAGCAUCGCUUUUGUUUUUGUUAUUUUGUGGAAAGGGCAUACACAAGAUUAAAGACAAAACUUCGAUUACGCUUUACAUCGUUGUUUGUUUACGCGUCUUUGUUUUAUUUUGUGCUACUCUUUUGCUCAAUCGCAGCUUUGUUUCCUAACUGAUGAAAUUUUUUGCAAUCAUUUGAGUUGAGAAGUGCAAAGCGGAUCCUCGAUCAAUUAUUAGAUUCAAUAACUGAGGACCAGUUGAGAAAGGCCUUGCAGCUCAAAAAAAAAAAGAUAUUUUAAAACUCAAGUUGCCUUAAAGUAAUAAAAGUAUCCGACUUAUUAAAAUAAAGAAAAAUUAAAAUUAAAU
Drosophila nasuta is the source of this 703-nucleotide long non-coding RNA. RefSeq lists it as uncharacterized. The transcript is spliced from 3 exons. The record is from RefSeq and is a predicted model, not a curated record. NCBI's taxonomy places the organism in Eukaryota, Metazoa, Arthropoda, Insecta, Diptera, Drosophilidae.